UGCAGUGUUUAUUCUUGUCUCAUGUCGAAAUACAACAGUCUUAUAGGAAAUAUUAUGACAGUCCAUUCCAACUGUUUUCAGACACAUGCAUAAACAGUCUCUGCUCACAUUCCACAGCCACCUGCAUGUUAUCCAUACAGCUCCCUGAGAAGUCCAGGGAUAGGAGGCGGGGUGUGGCAGGAUGGAGGGUCCUUCAUUUUCUAAACACUUUGUAUAAGUCACUACUCAUCGUGCCUAGCAAGUAUAAGAUUAACAUUUUGAAUAACAAACUGGAAAACAAAUAAUCCUCUGAAGAACCUAGUGAACUGUUCAAAGGAAAUUUUGAUUUCAGUCUACCAGAAAAGUUAAAUCUGUUGUUGGACAUAGGAGGUUUUCAGAAACAUGCCUCUUUUAUCAAUUUCCACUAUCUUUCAAGUUACCUAAAGGCACCAGGCUGCUUGAGCAAGAAGAAUAAAAGGCCUAGAGUGCAAAUUAUGUGAAGUAGAGCUUUUAGAUUGUGGGAUUGUAAUAAUAUGGGAUGCUCAUGGUCGCAUCAUGUUAAAUCACACCGUUUAGUCUUCAAAACUUGGUGUUUUAAAAUGUGUCUCAUUGUGAUAGCCAGAAACAAGGAAUAAACGUGAUUUCAGUUUAAACUAUAUACAAAUAUCUUCUGUAAUUUUGCUGCUCUAAUUUUUAGGCUAUAAAUUUUGUAAUAGAGCUUAUCAGAUUGCGAAUUUCCUUUGUUUACAAUCUCAUGUAGUAGGGCUCAGAUAAUUUCUUAGCUAUAGCUAUAAACCUUUUCUCCCACUCUCAUAUUAAGUUUCAUUUAAAAUAUUUAAGCUAAGCCUAAAAAUUGAAAUCAGUUAAGAAUUUGGAGAGUUUAUCUUAAAUGGAAAUGGUGUAUUCUUUUCAAAGAAUUUUGUAACCGUCUUUACAGUUUCUUUGCUUGGAAAACUUGGGUUGUUAACUAUCAGUUAACAGUUGCAUUACUUUCCAAAACAUUAUCUAAUGGGCCCAAUGUGUACCUCAAGAUAAACACAGUAUGUUAUGUCUAAAAAUUUCAUUGUCUGUUGAUUUAAAUGGUUCUGAAAUGUCUCUAAUAAAGAAAUUUUCAAAGUUGC
RNAcentral lists this long non-coding RNA (1100 nucleotides) under Macaca fascicularis (crab-eating macaque). RNAcentral's name for it is "lncRNA (ENSMFAG00000049258.1)". The record is from RNAcentral. Lineage: Eukaryota; Metazoa; Chordata; Mammalia; Primates; Cercopithecidae.